AACCUGAAACCGUGUACGUACAAGCAGUGGGAGCACCUUCGUGGUGUGACUGCGUACCUUUUGUAUAAUGGGUCAGCGACUUAUAUUUUGUAGCAAGGUUAACCGUAUAGGGGAGCCGUAGGGAAACCGAGUCUUAACUGGGCGAAUAGUUGCAAGGUAUAGACCCGAAACCCGGUGAUCUAGCCAUGGGCAGGUUGAAGGUUGGGUAACACUAACUGGAGGACCGAACCGACUAAUGUUGAAAAAUUAGCGGAUGACUUGUGGCUGGGGGUGAAAGGCCAAUCAAACCGGGAGAUAGCUGGUUCUCCCCGAAAGCUAUUUAGGUAGCGCCUCGUGAACUCAUCUUCGGGGGUAGAGCACUGUUUCGGCUAGGGGGCCAUCCCGGCUUACCAAACCGAUGCAAACUCCGAAUACCGAAGAAUGUUAUCACGGGAGACACACGGCGGGUGCUAACGUCCGUCGUGAAGAGGGAAACAACCCAGACCGCCAGCUAAGGUCCCAAAGUCAUGGUUAAGUGGGAAACGAUGUGGGAAGGCAUAGACAGCCAGGAUGUUGGCUUAGAAGCAGCCAUCAUUUAAAGAAAGCGUAAUAGCUCACUGGUCGAGUCGGCCUGCGCGGAAGAUGUAACGGGGCUAAACCAUGCACCGAAGCUGCGGCAGCGACGCUUAGCGUUGUUGGGUAGGGGAGCGUUCUGUAAGCCGUUGAAGGUGGCCUGUGAGGGUUGCUGGAGGU
RNAcentral lists this ribosomal RNA (732 nucleotides) under Serratia sp. HMSC15F11. RNAcentral's name for it is "bacterial LSU rRNA". It matches the Rfam family "Bacterial large subunit ribosomal RNA", at positions 547 to 1280 of the family's 2925-position model. The record is from RNAcentral. Lineage: Bacteria; Pseudomonadati; Pseudomonadota; Gammaproteobacteria; Enterobacterales; Yersiniaceae.